RNAcentral lists this ribosomal RNA (254 nucleotides) under uncultured bacterium. RNAcentral's name for it is "partial 16S ribosomal RNA". It matches the Rfam family "Bacterial small subunit ribosomal RNA", at positions 524 to 776 of the family's 1533-position model. The record is from RNAcentral.
UACGUAGGGUGCAAGCGUUAAUCGGAAUUACUGGGCGUAAAGCGUGCGCAGGCGGUUGUGUAAGACAGAUGUGAAAAUCCCCGGGCUCAACCUGGGAACUGCAUUUGUGACUGCACAGCUGGAGUGCGGCAGAGGGGGAUGGAAUUCCGCGUGUAGCAGUGAAAUGCGUAGAUAUGCGGAGGAACACCGAUGGCGAAGGCAAUCCCCUGGGCCUGCACUGACGCUCAUGCACGAAAGCGUGGGGAGCAAACAGG